UAGUCGAGUGACUCAGGCAAAACGAGUCACGGCGCACAGCUCAGUAACACGUGGCUAAUCUGCCCUUGAGACGAGAAUAACCCCGGGAAACUGGGGCUAACUCUCGAUAGGCGAAGAACUCUGGAAUGAGUCUUCACCCAAAAAGCUUCACGUUAUCCUCGUGAAGUCGCUCAAGGAUGAGGCCGCGACCGAUCAGGUUGUUGGUGAGGUAAUGGCUCACCAAGCCUUUUACCGGUGCGGGCCGUGGGAGCGGGAGCCCGGAGAUGGGUACUGAGACAAGGACCCAGGCCCUACGGGGCGCAGCAGUCGCGAAAACUUUGCAAUACACGAAAGUGUGACAGGGCUAUCCCGAGUGCCAUCCGCUGAGGAAGGCUUUUACCCAGUCUAGAACGCUGGGGGAAUAAGGAGAGGGCAAGUCUGGUGUCAGCCGCCGCGGUAAUACCAGCUCUCCGAGUGGUGUGGAUGUUUAUUGGGCCUAAAGCAUCCGUAGCUGGCUAAGUUAGUCCCCUGUUAAAUCCACCGAAUUAAUCGUUGGAUUGCGGGGGAUACUGCUUGGCUAGGGGACGAGAGAGGCAGACGGUAUUUUCGGGGUAGGGGUGAAAUCCUAUAAUCCCGGGAAGACCACCAGUGGCGAAGGCUGUCUGCUAGAACGCGCCCGACGGUGAGGGAUGAAAGCUGGGGGAGCGAACCGGAUUAGAUACCCGGGUAGUCCCAGCUGUAAACGAUGCAGACUCGGUGAUGAGUUGGCUUAUUGCUAACUCAGUGCCGCAGGGAAGCCGUUAAGUUUGCCGCCUGGGGAGUACGGUCGCAGAGACUGAAACUAAAGGAAUGGCGGG
Molecule: ribosomal RNA, 836 nt
Filed under: uncultured archaeon
Lineage: Archaea
Description: bacterial SSU rRNA
Rfam family: Archaeal small subunit ribosomal RNA
Source: RNAcentral